GACGAACGCUGGCGGCGUGCUUAACACAUGCAAGUCGAACGGAAGGGCCCUGCUUUUGUGGGGUGCUCGAGUGGCGAACGGGUGAGUAACACGUGAGUAACCUGCCCUUGACUUUGGGAUAACUUCAGGAAACUGGGGCUAAUACCGGAUAGGAGCUCCUGCUGCAUGGUGGGGGUUGGAAAGUUUCGGCGGUUGGGGACGGACUCGCGGCUUAUCAGCUUGUUGGUGGGGUAGUGGCUUACCAAGGCUUUGACGGGUAGCCGGCCUGAGAGGGUGACCGGCCACAUUGGGACUGAGAUACGGCCCAGACUCCUACGGGAGGCAGCAGUGGGGAAUAUUGCACAAUGGGCGGAAGCCUGAUGCAGCAACGCCGCGUGCGGGAUGACGGCCUUCGGGUUGUAAACCGCUUUCGCCUGUGACGAAGCGUGAGUGACGGUAAUGGGUAAAGAAGCACCGGCUAACUACGUG
Molecule: ribosomal RNA, 468 nt
Filed under: uncultured bacterium
Lineage: Bacteria
Description: partial 16S ribosomal RNA
Rfam family: Bacterial small subunit ribosomal RNA
Source: RNAcentral